RNAcentral lists this ribosomal RNA (117 nucleotides) under Rothia sp. (in: high G+C Gram-positive bacteria). RNAcentral also lists the same sequence under 6 other names. Lineage: Bacteria; Bacillati; Actinomycetota; Actinomycetes; Micrococcales; Micrococcaceae. The record is from RNAcentral.
UUCGGUGAUUAUAGCAAGAGGGAAACGCCCGGAUCCAUCCCGAACCCGGAAGCUAAGACUCUUUGCGCCGAUGGUACUGCACUGGGGACGGUGUGGGAGAGUAGGUCGUCGCCGAGC